Xyrauchen texanus (razorback sucker) is the source of this 288-nucleotide long non-coding RNA. RefSeq lists it as uncharacterized. The transcript has 3 exons. The record is from RefSeq and is a predicted model, not a curated record. NCBI's taxonomy places the organism in Eukaryota, Metazoa, Chordata, Actinopteri, Cypriniformes, Catostomidae.
CGAUACGUCUCAGAAAUUCAAACAAAACUUCCUCCAUGAUCAAACUGUUUUCAAUAAUGUUCAUGAGGACUCUCUAUCAACACUGGGGCGAGUUGUGAUUUCGGAAAGAAAUUCUGAGAGAGUAAAAGACCUGCGGCAUGAAUAUGUGGAGAGUUUUGGUAAUGGAUGCUGAUGCAAUCCCACAUUCAUUUAUCUUCAUAGAUGAGGCUGGGUUUAACCUAACAAAAAUUGGGGUCCUCCACCACAACGCCAACUUGGGUCCUUACAACACGGACUACAUGCAUUUUU